CAUCGCCUUUUUGACUAUAAUUUAAGGUUUCACCUGCCCAAUGAGGAUUUUAAUGGCCGCGAUAUUUUGAUCGUGCGAAGGUAGCAUAAUCAUUAGUUUUUUUAUUGAAAGCUGGAAUGAAUGGUAGGACGAGAAAGAAACUGUCUCAUUAUUAAUUAUUUAGAAUUUUAUUUUUAAGUUAAAAAGCUUAAAUUUUAUUUAAAGACGAGAAGACCCUAUAGAGUUUUAUAUACUUAUUUUGUUUAUGUUGAGGUAUUAAUUUCAUUUUCACUUGAAUGUAUAUUUGGUUGGGGUGACAAAAAAAUUAAAUAAACUUUUUUUUUCUUUUAAUACUUAUAUGUAGAUAAUUGAUCCAUAGUUUAUGAUUAAAAGAUUAAAUUACCUUAGGGAUAACAGCGUAAUUCUUUUUUAGAGUUCUUAUCGAAAGGAGAGAUUGCGACCUCGAUGUUGGAUUAAAGUUUAACUUUGGUGCAGAAGCUAGAGUGUUUAGUCUGUUCGACUAUUAAAACUUUACAUGAUCUGAGU
RNAcentral lists this ribosomal RNA (525 nucleotides) under Dicerca corrugata. RNAcentral describes it as "partial 16S ribosomal RNA". It matches the Rfam family "Bacterial large subunit ribosomal RNA", at positions 1814 to 2610 of the family's 2925-position model. Lineage: Eukaryota; Metazoa; Arthropoda; Insecta; Coleoptera; Buprestidae. The record is from RNAcentral.